GUGGAUGCCUUAGGUUCAUAUGCACAAUGGGCGCUUUACGAUGCGAAACGUUGUAUCUGAGACAUCAUUCUGAUAGGUACAAAUCCCCACAGCGGUAAACCGCAAUAUUUUGACACGAGGAGAACUGAAACAUCUAAAUAUCCUCUAGGAAAAGAAAUCAACCGAGAUUCCGUUAGUAUUGGCGAAAGAACGCGGACAAGGCAUAUGAUUAUGAAAUUGAAAAACAUGUUGGAAUACAUAGACCAAAGAAGGUAAAAGUCCUGUAUUAUGCCUUUCAUAAUCAUCAAGAGUAGAACGUUAGACUGUUUGAAAAUAGGAGAACCACCUUCUAAGCCUACAUAUGCAUAUGAGACCGAUAGUGAACAAGUACUGUGAAGGAAAGGUGAAAAGAACCCUCUUGUAUAGGGAGUGAAAAGAUCUGAAACAAAAUACAUACAAUCAAUCGAUAUAUUAAAAAAAUGUAUCGGUGUACCUUUUGCAUAAUGGGUCAGCGACUAAAUGUGUGCAGCUUGCUUAAGCAACGAUGUGGAGGCAAAGCAAAAGCGAG
This 547-nucleotide ribosomal RNA is filed under the name Micromonas pusilla. RNAcentral describes it as "partial Bacterial large subunit ribosomal RNA". It matches the Rfam family "Bacterial large subunit ribosomal RNA", at positions 24 to 681 of the family's 2925-position model. Lineage: Eukaryota; Viridiplantae; Chlorophyta; Mamiellophyceae; Mamiellales; Mamiellaceae. The record is from RNAcentral.